UUGCCUGAUUCCGGGUUGAGGUAGUAGUUUGUACAGUUUGAGGGUCUAUGAUACCACCCGGUACAGGAGAUAACUGUACAGGCCACUGCCUUGCCUGGGGCAGAGCUUU
This 109-nucleotide microRNA precursor is filed under the name Anolis carolinensis (green anole). RNAcentral describes it as "let-7g stem-loop (aca-let-7g)". Its record names the gene aca-let-7g. The stretch from base 11 to 98 matches the Rfam family "let-7 microRNA precursor family". Rfam says of the family: This family represents the microRNAs (miRNA) let-7 and mir-98. let-7 was identified from a study of developmental timing in C. elegans, and was later shown to be part of a much larger class of non-coding RNAs termed miRNAs. Lineage: Eukaryota; Metazoa; Chordata; Lepidosauria; Squamata; Anolidae. The record is from miRBase by way of RNAcentral.